CGCAGGACUGCAAUUACGCUGGUAAGUAGUAGUGAUUCGAUAUUUAUGUACAUAUUUAUCUCGGUUCUACUCCCCGUUAUUACUGUUGUCUAAAAUAUCGUAAGUGCAGGCUACCUGUUGGGUAAUCUCCACGCCCUCCUGCUCAGGCUUCUCUCCCAUGGGGUUACUAUUAUUUAUCUGAACUUUGUGUAGCCUGCUAGUGCUUGAAUUGGCUUUGUUAUGAAUUGUCUUGUAGCUUGCAGUUUGUCAUACAAAUGGAGGAGACUUGCAGGGUGCUUACGAAUCAUGCAGAACAAGGGCCAGCUACUGAAAAGAGUUUUUCUACAGGUUUUCUCACUGAAACUGAAUUCCCAGUUUAUCGCUUCAAUAUGCACUACGUUUAUGUAAUUUUGUCCUCGGAUGAGGCAAGAAUGGAUCCAGUCUCAUCUGCCACGAAGAGUCCUUCAGAAUGAGAUGCGGAGAAAGGUCACUUGCGCCACUCUCACUGCACCGCCGAAUUUUAUGGCAAGUCGAGUCCUUUCCUUCCAGUUAUGCGGCUGUCAUAAUGAACGCCACUUUGCCAGUGCUUAAGUGUUUUCAGUAAGCAAAGUUGCAAAGCAAAGUUCAGUAAAGUCAGUUGUGACUUGGAUAGGUGAGCAUGCGGAUCUGGCUAGUUCUAGCCGAGGGUAUUAUAGCUGUUGGCAUUUCAGUAUGGUGAACCCCUUGGCUCGGCCUCACAUAUGCAGUGCUGUUCCGUGAAACGUAGCCAGUACUCAACGUGUUCUUUGUGUGGAUUAUGGCCGUCGCACAAGAGGAAGAUUUUGAAGUAGCCUGUGUGUAUGUUUUAUAUGAAAUCAGGUUAAAACUUGGGCAGGUUGGUGUGACAUACUAAAAGCGUAUGUUUCCUGGGCGCUGAGGAGCGCGACGUUGCGGGCAACGAGCACGAGCUGUGCAAUGACUGCGACGAGCUUUAUGUGUGGUCUCAUCUUGCAUCUGACCCAAUAUGCCAUUAAGCGAAACAGAAAACUUCGUGCCACUAUUAUGUUUGAAGUGGACACUGCGACAAAA
Long non-coding RNA from Ornithodoros turicata, 1047 nucleotides. RefSeq lists it as uncharacterized. The record is from RefSeq and is a predicted model, not a curated record. NCBI's taxonomy places the organism in Eukaryota, Metazoa, Arthropoda, Arachnida, Ixodida, Argasidae. The transcript is spliced from 3 exons.